Molecule: long non-coding RNA, 1651 nt
Organism: Coturnix japonica (Japanese quail)
Lineage: Eukaryota; Metazoa; Chordata; Aves; Galliformes; Phasianidae
Source: RefSeq, a predicted model, not a curated record
CCCCCCCCCCUCCACCGAGCUCGGCCCUCCGUUUCGUUAGAAAGCCAAAGAAUAAAUAAAGGCAACGGGGAGGGAAGAACGAGAACGCAGCCUGGUGGCCCCCCAGCCCGUCCCCGCCAGACGCAUUCCCUUAUAGUAACAGCUGGUAAUUCAGGCUGCGGAAUACCGCCUAUAUGUAACUAAUAAACCUACUGUGUCUUAACAGGGCAACGCGUGGAGGAGCGCUGUCGCUUAUACAAGAUGUCGAUGGAAUUUACUAUAUAAAAAUUCCCCUUUCAAGAAUAAAGUGUAGCAACUUACAGCACAACAAGCGACAGAGGGAUAAGUGAAACAGACAAAAGACAAACAAGAUAAUAAUCUGUUUCCAAUCAGUUAAGCCCUGUAGAAUUUGUAAUACGCGGUUUGCAUAUUCCCCCUGUGUUUUGUAAUUAAUUGUCUAUCUGUUAGGAUGCUCCUCAGACGACUUUGUUGAUAUUUCCAACUAGUUUUGGUGGAGCCGCCAGGGAGCGCGGAACAGCGCGGAGAGCGGGGACGGGAGCCGAACCCGAUCCGCACCCGUCCGCGGGGCUGUGCGGUGCUGUGCGGUGCUGUGCGGUGCUGUGCGGUGCUCCCGCCGCUCGCGCCCCCAACCCCCUCACCCGGCAAAAGCGGGACAGCGCGGUUUUAACAUUAAACAAACCCAGCAAGCAGCUCCUCGCCGGGCCAUAGGCGUUUCUGAGUGACUGCGUUACAAAUUGUAAAUUUAAAUAGCUCACAGGAUUCAUUACCUCCCGCGUCUGAUUUCACCCAGCCGUGAAAAAUUGUCUUGGUGUACCACUGAGAAAGGGUUUGCUGCAAAGAGCCCCGCUCUAAUCACCCGCUUUCUGUCUCUAACAAAAGUGUAAUAAUUUUGUUUGGAGUGUAACUAUAACCCACGGUACAAAACCAAAACAAAACAAAAAAACAAACCAACCAGAAAGAAAGAAAGAAAGAAAGCUUCCAGCGUCUGAAUGCAUUAAGGAGACGUUUAAAAAGAUAAAUUAAUACCAAGGUUAAAGGGGGGAAGGCAUCUGGGACGUGGAAAUUUCCGCGUGCUACGGGUGGCGGAGGUGAGAGCGCAGAGAGGGUGCACUCCCACUUCCCGACUCCGAGCACAAAGAGCCGCGCAGCGCUGCGCAACGAAACAACCCCCCCCCACCUCCCACCAGGUUCCCCUCUUUUCCCAUCUCGGUGCCGGGGUGCCCCCCCUCCCCCCGCCCCCAGACCCGGGGCUGUUUUGUUGAAGGGUGGAGAAGGGGGUGGUGUGGAGAGAGAAAACAAACAAACAAACAAACGAACAAAUUUCCGCCCCCUCCACGGCCGAACCGCGAUGAGGGACCGGGGGAUUUUCAUUCUUUUUUACCUCUCUCUUUUCUUAAUUUUUACGAAUUGAUUUUUUCCUUCCCUCCGAGCUCCAGCCGCUGUCGGAGGAACUAGAGCCACAAAACGAAUGCCGGCGUCAAGGGCCCCGUUCCCGUCCCUGUUUCCCCGGACCUGGCCUCUCCCUGCUUUCCCUCCUCGGGGUCCCGCUGACCCGCGCCCCGGCUCUGCCGCUCCCUGCGGUGCCGCCGUCGGCUCGGACAAAGUAGGGCUGAGCCACGCGUCUCGCAAUAAACGCAGUGGAGGCUGCCAA